UCGUCAGCUCGUGUCGUGAGAUGUUGGGUUAAGUCCCGCAACGAGCGCAACCCCUGCCGCCAGUUGCCAGCAUUGAGUUGGGGACUCUGGCGGGACUGCCUCUGCAAGGAGGAGGAAGGCGGGGAUGACGUCAAAUCAUCAUACCCCUUAUGUGUAGGGCUACACACGUGCUACAAUGGCAAGUACAGAGAGACGCAAAACCGUGAGGUCGAGCAAAUCCCUUAAAACUCGUCCCAGUUCGGAUUGUAGGCUGAAACUCGCCUACAUGAAGCCGGAGUUGCUAGUAAUCGCGAAUCAGAAUGUCGCGGUGAAUACGUUCCCGGGUCUUGUACACACCGCCCGUCACACCAUGAGAGUUGGCAAUACCCAACGUCCGUGAGCUAACCGCAAGGAGGCAGCGGCCUAAGGUAGGGUCAGCGAUUGGGGUGAAGUCGUAACAAGGUAGCCGUA
Molecule: ribosomal RNA, 450 nt
Filed under: uncultured bacterium
Lineage: Bacteria
Description: bacterial SSU rRNA
Rfam family: Bacterial small subunit ribosomal RNA
Source: RNAcentral